CCUGGGAAGGUUGUUUCUUGUGAUGUUGGUGGUGGUGGGUGGGCUUCACUUGGAUGGUAUAUGGGUGGGCUGCCAUUUCCUUUGGGGGUGGGGAUUGUUUUUCCUCUGUUUUUGAGGAAGGGAAUUUGGAAAGCUAUUUUUGUUUCUUUUCUUUCAGAGGAAAAAACUUGACCUGGUAGAUCAGCGGUGGAAGCCGGUGCCACUGCCACUAAUAUUUAGGUCCUGGAACAUCAACGUCCCCGUUGCCGCUGAGAUCUCCAGGUCACCUCCCGUCCCAGCAGAGUCCUCAACACACCGAACAAUGAGCUCCGAGAAAAAAAGUCUGCGUACCUAUGAUGACUGGGGAGGUGACGGAACCGACAGGGACAUGGAGUUCAUACACCAAAGGGCGCUGUGUCGGACAGCAUACCUGCUCAGGCGAUCGGAGUAUGUGCGGAUUUGGCUCGUCGAUGACGUCCAAGAUGUUGUUCAUGUCAGGCAUGUUCUAGAUCUCGGACCUCUGGCACAGCUAACAUUGAGAAACGAGAUGCAAAUGAGCUCUACUGCAUUAGCUCUCUCCCUGGCAAAGAUCUCAAAAAAGACUGGGGUUUCAAGAUGCAAAAAGCUCUUUUGAAGAAGCACUGAGAAGCGUAGCUGCAGCAGUCUGCCAAGGAAACUUAAUGCAUGCUAACUUCUCUUCAACAGUGGAAGAUGUCCAGCAGUGCCAUCAGAACUAGUGGAAACCCAGAGGAACCAGUUAAAUUAAGCCUGUCUGGGAUUACAUGAAGAGACGGAGUGCUGACCAAAUCCUUGCAAGAUGUUUUGGAACCUCUUACUUGCCAAAAUUUUUCAAAAACGGUGUGCAGGUGUUCCUAGAAGAACAGAUGCAAGUUUUGCAGGCAAAUGGUGGUCACACCAAAUAUUGAUUUUAAAUGGGAUUUUUCACUUUUUAUUUUGUAAAUACUAAAAAUAAAUUAUAAACAUUCUA
Molecule: long non-coding RNA, 967 nt
Organism: Silurus meridionalis
Lineage: Eukaryota; Metazoa; Chordata; Actinopteri; Siluriformes; Siluridae
Exons: 4
Source: RefSeq, a predicted model, not a curated record